Gopherus flavomarginatus (Mexican gopher tortoise) is the source of this 383-nucleotide long non-coding RNA. RefSeq lists it as uncharacterized. The record is from RefSeq and is a predicted model, not a curated record. The transcript is spliced from 3 exons. Lineage: Eukaryota; Metazoa; Chordata; Testudines; Testudinidae.
AGGAGGUUGAUUUGACAAGUUUAUUCCUGAGCUUCCCUGUGCAAAAGCAGUAGUUUCACUCUCAGGGUCAGCGUUGAAAGGUAUUUCCUGCGACACUUGUGAAACAUAGAGGAAAAUGAGGCUCUGCACUCCACUCUUGUGGCUCUAUGAGAAAUUACAAAAUUUCAACUUUUUGUUCCAAUUGAGAAUGAAAACAAAUUUUGAAAUGACAGAAUUUCCCAUUGGACAGAAAUUCCAUUUUCUGACCUGCUCUGCUCAGUUGGUGUAAACUGGGGUAGCUCCACUAGAGUCAAUGCAAAACACUCCAGAUCUCAAUGGGAAGCUUGCUCAAGUAAGGACUGAGUAAGGAGUGCAGGAUGUGGCUGAUGAUGCUACUUUUUAUU